ACACUUACGUGGCAGGGGAGAUACCAUGAUCAUGAAGGUGGUUUUCCCAGGGCGAGGCUUAUCCAUUGCACUCCAGAUGUGCUGAUCCUUGUAAUUUCCCCAAAUUUGGGAAACUCAACUGCAUAAUUUGUGGUAGUGGGGGACUGCGUUCACACUCUCCCCUA
Molecule: small nuclear RNA, 164 nt
Organism: Phodopus roborovskii (desert hamster)
Lineage: Eukaryota; Metazoa; Chordata; Mammalia; Rodentia; Cricetidae
Product: U1 spliceosomal RNA
Exons: 1
Source: RefSeq, a predicted model, not a curated record